RNAcentral lists this ribosomal RNA (289 nucleotides) under uncultured bacterium. Its description in RNAcentral is "partial 16S ribosomal RNA". It matches the Rfam family "Bacterial small subunit ribosomal RNA", at positions 28 to 320 of the family's 1533-position model. The record is from RNAcentral.
GACGAACGCUGGCGGCGUGCUUAACACAUGCAAGUCGAACGAUGAACCACUUCGGUGGGGAUUAGUGGCGAACGGGUGAGUAACACGUGGGCAAUCUGCCCUUCACUCUGGGACAAGCCCUGGAAACGGGGGUCUAAUACCGGAUAACACUGCCACGGGCAUCUGUGGUGGUUAAAAGCUCCGGCGGUGAAGGAUGAGCCCGCGGCCUAUCAGCUUGUUGGUGACGGUAAUGGCCACCAAGGCGACGACGGGUAGCCGGCCUGAGAGGGCGACCGGCCACACUGGGACU